GGUGAACGCUGGCGGCGUGCUUAACACAUGCAAGUCGAACGGAAAGGCCAGUGCUUGCACUGGUACUCGAGUGGCGAACGGGUGAGUAACACGUGGGUGAUCUGCCCUGCACUUCGGGAUAAGCCUGGGAAACUGGGUCUAAUACCGGAUAGGACAAUGGUUUGGAUGCCGUUGUGGAAAGUUUUUUCGGUGUGGGAUGAGCUCGCGGCCUAUCAGCUUGUUGGUGGGGUAAUGGCCUACCAAGGCGUCGACGGGUAGCCGGCCUGAGAGGGUGUACGGCCACAUUGGGACUGAGAUACGGCCCAGACUCCUACGGGAGGCAGCAAUGGGGAAUAUUGCACAAUGGGCGCAAGCCUGAUGCAGCGACGCCGCGUGGGGGAUGACGGCCUUCGGGUUGUAAACUCCUUUCGCUAGGGACGAAGCGUAUUUGUGACGGUACCUGGAGAAGAAGCACCGGCUAACUACGUG
This 468-nucleotide ribosomal RNA is filed under the name uncultured bacterium. RNAcentral's name for it is "partial 16S ribosomal RNA". It matches the Rfam family "Bacterial small subunit ribosomal RNA", at positions 28 to 507 of the family's 1533-position model. The record is from RNAcentral.